AGUGAACGCUGGCGGUAGGCCUAACACAUGCAAGUCGAACGGCAGCACAGUAAGAGCUUGCUCUUACGGGUGGCGAGUGGCGGACGGGUGAGGAAUACAUCGGAAUCUACUUUUUCGUGGGGGAUAACGUAGGGAAACUUACGCUAAUACCGCAUACGACCUACGGGUGAAAGCAGGGGAUCUUCGGACCUUGCGCGAUUGAAUGAGCCGAUGUCGGAUUAGCUAGUUGGCGGGGUAAAGGCCCACCAAGGCGACGAUCCGUAGCUGGUCUGAGAGGAUGAUCAGCCACACUGGAACUGAGACACGGUCCAGACUCCUACGGGAGGCAGCCGUGGGGAAUAUUGGACAAUGGGCGCAAGCCUGAUCCAGCCAUACCGCGUGGGUGAAGAAGGCCUUCGGGUUGUAAGGCCCUUUUGUUGGGAAAGAAAAGCAGCAGGUUAAUACCCCGCUGUUCUGACGGUACCCAAAGAAUAAGCACCGGCUAACUUCGUG
RNAcentral lists this ribosomal RNA (492 nucleotides) under uncultured bacterium. RNAcentral describes it as "partial 16S ribosomal RNA". It matches the Rfam family "Bacterial small subunit ribosomal RNA", at positions 29 to 507 of the family's 1533-position model. The record is from RNAcentral.